This 254-nucleotide ribosomal RNA is filed under the name uncultured bacterium. Its description in RNAcentral is "partial 16S ribosomal RNA". It matches the Rfam family "Bacterial small subunit ribosomal RNA", at positions 524 to 776 of the family's 1533-position model. The record is from RNAcentral.
UACGUAGGGUGCGAGCGUUAAUCGGAAUUACUGGGCGUAAAGCGUGCGCAGGCGGUUCGUUGUGUCGGCGGUGAAAGCCCGGGGCUUAACCUGGGAAUGGCCGUUGAAACUGGCGAACUGGAGUGUGGCAGAGGGGGGUGGAAUUCCGCGUGUAGCAGUGAAAUGCGUAGAGAUGCGGAGGAACACCGAUGGCGAAGGCAGCCCCCUGGGCUAACACUGACGCCUCAGGCACGAAAGCGUGGGGAGCAAACAGG